CGUAUUAAUGACCGCAGUCAAAACAUGGCUUUCAAACGCCGUAUCAAUCUCAUGCCAUCAGCUUACGCUGUAUCCAGCAUCCGCGGUUGCAACGAAUCGUUGGCACCGAAUCUUUCAAACUUUCGAAUCGUACUAUCCGUGCGACCAAUGAUUGUCUAAUAUUAAUCGAUAAUCGCGGGCGUUUAAUUCGACUCUUCUAGCGACUCGAUAUACUUGUCGCAUCGUUGCUUCCACGCGACAUACUCUUCUCUCGAAUUCAAUCGGAUAAAUUGUUCCAAAAAAUAUGUUUGUUCCAUAUUAAUUCUUCUUUGAUGUACAACUCUCAACUUAUAAUUCGGCUAAUGACAGAACGUGUCACAGUCUUUUCAUUAUAUCUUACCAAUGAUGAUUGUAUCUUCUUUAGAAUAUUUUCGUAUGUGAUAUCUAAUUCCAGAGUGUAUCAAAUGAUGUAUAAAGUAGAUUUUAUUCUUGACUUAUGUGAAAAUGCAAUAAUUACGUUUUUAACACGAUGAUCUCAGGACACGUUGUGGCGUGUCCAUUGUUCUUAAAAUAAUAUCAUAUUUCAUAUUAUUAACCUAUGUGAAAUGUUUGUAAUUUUAACACGUGUCCGAUCUCAUCGCGAAAAACAUCAAUUGUUCUUAAAAAUAUAUAUUUUGUACCGUUGAUCUAUGGAUUUGCAAAUUUGUAAUUUUAAUACGUGAGGUGAUCUCAUUAUGACAUAAUAAAGAUAUUUACGCGUACGUGAAAUUCAUCACAGCAACCAUAUAUUGGUGCUAAUAUUGUUGCAAAUGUUGUAGUAUCUACAAUUGUACCAUAUAUCAAAUGAUGUACGAAAACGUGCCCAAAGUAGAUUUAUUCUGUAUAAUCUCAUCGCAGCUGCCGUUUAUUGGUGCUUAUACAAAAAUGCAAAAUUGCAAUUUUAAUGAGAGUUAUAUUUCACAUCUCGCGUCGCUACUUACGCAGUAGAUCGUCGAAAAAAGAAUAGAGGAAUAUAUAAAUUAAAAAGAGCUUCAACAAUCAUUAUUGCAUUAAUCGCUCUGUGAAAGAGUCUAUACCUUUGUAAAAAGAAACAGCUCUUGAAAAUGAAAGGGAAGCUCUGUGAAUUAUUACAUGCUUUAUUCAACAGAAUAAGGCAUACAAAAAACAUAUAUCUUCUCAUAAUUCAUCAUCAUCUUCGGAACCCUGUACAUCUCGUAUCUUGGGAAGAAGAUUUGUCUUAACAUCCACAGCUUGUAAAUAUUUGAAUAUUGGAAUCAACGUGGGAUCUGUAUCCUAUAUGGAAUUAUGUAUUGGUAAUAAUCGAGGCAAUCAUAUUGCUUUAUGUAAUGUGGAAAACCCUCAUUGAGAAACGUGUGGAUAUCGAGCAGCUUGUGCAAUCAUUUGCUCCUUCAUCGUGUCAAUUCAUGAUCUAGUUAUAGAAUUCAAAUGCGAAAUACAAAUAUUGUAAAGUUGACAUUGCGCGAUACAUGCUUGUACAUGAAGCCGUCAACCGUAUUCUUUCUAUUCGAAUUUGAACAUUGCGUCGAACAUGUAUAUUACUGGCUCUAUCAGAAUAUAUAUGGUGUCAGCGAAAAAUUUAAACAAUUUAUAAACUUUUUACGGCAGAAUUAUAUCACAGAUAAACAUACUGCAAUAAAAACUUUGCGAGAGAGUGCCAUUUUUGAUUGAAAAACUUCGAUUGUGAAUUAUUAUAUAACCUACACUAUAGAUAAUAUUGUACACUAUGCAUUACAUCAUCAAUAAAUAUAUAUUACGAUAAAUA
This is a long non-coding RNA of Pogonomyrmex barbatus (red harvester ant), 1762 nucleotides long. The record is from RefSeq and is a predicted model, not a curated record. NCBI's taxonomy places the organism in Eukaryota, Metazoa, Arthropoda, Insecta, Hymenoptera, Formicidae.